GGAGCGGCCAUAACUCAAUGAUAGAGCAUCUGCUUUGCAUGCAGAAGGCCCCCGGUUCAAUCCCCGGUGUCUCCA
Molecule: transfer RNA, 75 nt
Filed under: Sphaerodactylus townsendi
Lineage: Eukaryota; Metazoa; Chordata; Lepidosauria; Squamata; Sphaerodactylidae
Description: tRNA-Ala
Rfam family: tRNA
About the family: Transfer RNA (tRNA) molecules are approximately 80 nucleotides in length. Their secondary structure includes four short double-helical elements and three loops (D, anti-codon, and T loops).
Source: RNAcentral